RNAcentral lists this microRNA precursor (57 nucleotides) under Cordylochernes scorpioides. The record is from RNAcentral. Lineage: Eukaryota; Metazoa; Arthropoda; Arachnida; Pseudoscorpiones; Chernetidae.
AGUGGAGAGGUCGUUUCUUCACUUUGGUCAGAACGUGAGAUUCAACUCCUCCACUUU